CCUACGGGUCGCACCAGUGGGGAAUAUUGGACAAUGGGCGCAAGCCUGAUCCAGCCAUGCCGCGUGAGUGAAGAAGGCCUUAGGGUUGUAAUGCUCUUUCACCGGUGAAGAUAAUGACGGUAACCGGAGAAGAAGCCCCGGCUAACUUCGUGCCAGCAGCCGCGGUAAUACGAAGGGGGCUAGCGUUGUUCGGAAUUACUGGGCGUAAAGCGCGCGUAGGCGGAUAGAUAAGUCAGAGGUGAAAUCCCGGGGCUCAACCCCGGAAUUGCCUUUGAUACCGUUUACCUUGAGUGCAGAAGAGGUAAGUGGAAUUCCGAGUGUAGAGGUGAAAUUCGUAGAUAUUCGGAGGAACACCAGUGGCGUAGGCGGCUUACUGGUCUGCAACUGACGCUGAGGCGCGAAAGCGUGGGGAGCAAACAGGAUUAGAUACCCCAGUAGUC
Molecule: ribosomal RNA, 440 nt
Filed under: uncultured bacterium
Lineage: Bacteria
Description: bacterial SSU rRNA
Rfam family: Bacterial small subunit ribosomal RNA
Source: RNAcentral